CUAGACAAGUGCUCUACCACUGAGCUACACCUCAGUCCCAGGACUCCCCUUCUGCAGAUGGACACACUGCAGCACAGAGAGGCACAGGCCACUGUGCCUGGAUUUUUUUUUAACAGAAAACAACAAUGAUGUCAUCACAUCACACAUGUCCACAGGGUUUCCUGAUAAGCACCUUGGCCAUUGUCACAGGAAGAGGUAUCAGGAUGGGGCCGAGCAGCUGGUCCCAGAGUGCCCUGACCCUCCCCCACCUGUUGAGAGCCACUGUCCAGUCGGAAUGGCCCCUGGCAUUUUGCCAGAAGUAAAGGUUGAGAGGCGAGCCAUGAAGAUGAUGAUAAUUAAGCUCAGCUGUGUAUAAUUGCUGUGACUGGAUUGUUGGAUUGAAACAGGCUGUGUAUAGGGCAGCUCCUGCUGUCUCAGGCGUCUGCUACUUUGAAGUUCUUGCAGGGAUUCCUGAAGAGUUCGGGUUGGUUGGUUGGUGAAGUUCGGGUGGAGGGAGUUUCGGUUGUUGUGUGGUGUUCCUGAGAGGGCCGCGUGGGUGGUGUUCGGGGGAGUUUGGAAAUAAAGUUUGUUCCUGCUUGA
Marmota flaviventris (yellow-bellied marmot) is the source of this 579-nucleotide non-coding RNA. Lineage: Eukaryota; Metazoa; Chordata; Mammalia; Rodentia; Sciuridae. The record is from RefSeq and is a predicted model, not a curated record.